CGGGAAUAUUGCACAAUGGGCGGAAGCCUGAUGCAGCGACGCCGCGUGAGGGAUGACGGCCUUCGGGUUGUAAACCUCUUUCAGCAGGGAAGAAGCGAAAGUGACGGUACCUGCAGAAGAAGCACCGGCUAACUACGUGCCAGCAGCCGCGGUAAUACGUAGGGUGCGAGCGUUGUCCGGAAUUAUUGGGCGUAAAGAGCUUGUAGGCGGUUUGUCGCGUCUGCAGUGAAAAUCCGAGGCUCAACCUCGGACUUGCUGUGGGUACGGGCAGGCUAGAGUAUGGUAGGGGAGACCGGAAUUCCUGGUGUAGCGGUGGAAUGCGCAGAUAUCAGGAGGAACACCGAUGGCGAAGGCAGGUCUCUGGGCCAUAACUGACGCUGAGAAGCGAAAGCAUGGGGAGCGAAC
This 405-nucleotide ribosomal RNA is filed under the name uncultured bacterium. Its description in RNAcentral is "bacterial SSU rRNA". It matches the Rfam family "Bacterial small subunit ribosomal RNA", at positions 356 to 773 of the family's 1533-position model. The record is from RNAcentral.